RNAcentral lists this transfer RNA (76 nucleotides) under Clostridiales bacterium. RNAcentral describes it as "tRNA-Asn". It matches the Rfam family "tRNA". From Rfam's summary of the family: Transfer RNA (tRNA) molecules are approximately 80 nucleotides in length. Their secondary structure includes four short double-helical elements and three loops (D, anti-codon, and T loops). The record is from RNAcentral. Lineage: Bacteria; Bacillati; Bacillota; Clostridia; Eubacteriales.
UCCCCGAUAGCUCAGCGGUAGUAGCACUCGGCUGUUAACCGAGGUGUCGUAGGUUCAAAUCCUACUCGGGGAGCCA